This is a non-coding RNA of Oryzias latipes (Japanese medaka), 448 nucleotides long. Lineage: Eukaryota; Metazoa; Chordata; Actinopteri; Beloniformes; Adrianichthyidae. The record is from RefSeq and is a predicted model, not a curated record.
AAAGAAGCGAAACCUCGACACGCCAGCAGGGCGGCGCGGUACUCCUGCAGCCCCCCUCCGCCCCCCCACAGGUCCAGCAUGGCAGGGAACGGUCCCGGACCUGAGAGGACGGCAAAGAUGCCAUUCGCGCGUCAGGGGCGUCGGGUUUCAAUGUUUCGUCAAGGGGCUGCUGGGUUGCUGGAGACUGUCCCGGCUAAUGCUGGGCAAAGGCAGGACACACCCUGGAGAGAUCGUCAGCCUGUCGCAGGGCCCGUGGGGCUGGAAUGAUUGGACUCGCUAUGCCAGGCCCUGGCGGCGGAGCUCACCACGCCAGAAUGCUCGCUAUGCCCGCCCCCGGGCAUCUGGCUGCCUGCUGCGGCGUCGGGAGGCCGCCUGCUCGGGCCUUCCAAACCUUGUGAUAUUUUUCUUAUUUUUCUCUAGACUAUAAUAAAAAGAUCUUCCAGUUUGA